GAAGGAUCAUUAUUGAAAUAAACCUGAUGGGUUGCUGCUGGCUCUCUAGGGGGCAUGUGCACACUUGUCAUCUUUAUAUCUAUCCCUGUGCACCUUUUGUAGACCUGAAUAUCUUUUCUGAAUGUGCAAGCAUUCAGGUUUGAGGAUCUGGCAUUGCCUUUCCUUGUAUUUAGGCCUAUGUUUCUUCAUAUACCCCAAUGUAUGUUAUAGAAUGUAAUAUAUGGGCCUUUGUGCCUAUAAACCUUGUACAACUUUCAGCAACGGAUCUCUUGGCUCUCGCAUCGAUGAAGAACGCAGCGAAAUGCGAUAAGUAAUGUGAAUUGCAGAAUUCAGUGAAUCAUCGAAUCUUUGAACGCACCUUGCGCUCCUUGGUAUUCCGAGGAGCAUGCCUGUUUGAGUGUCAUUAAUAUAUCAACCUCUUCAACUUUUGCUUGUUGAGUGUUGGAUGUGGGGGUUCUCUUUUGCUGGUCUCUUUUUUUGAGGUCGGCUCCCCUAAAAUGCAUUAGUGGAACAAUUUGUUGACCGUUCAUUGGUGUGAUAAUUAUCUACGCUAUUGACGUGAAGCAAGUUCAGCUUCUAAUAGUCCAUUGACUUGGACAAUUUUUCAUUAAUGUGACCUCAAAUCAGGUAGGACUACCCGCUGAACUUAA
RNAcentral lists this ribosomal RNA (650 nucleotides) under Cortinarius sinapivelus. RNAcentral's name for it is "eukaryotic LSU rRNA". The stretch from base 250 to 403 matches the Rfam family "5.8S ribosomal RNA". Lineage: Eukaryota; Fungi; Basidiomycota; Agaricomycetes; Agaricales; Cortinariaceae. The record is from RNAcentral.